This 30-nucleotide small RNA is filed under the name Bombyx mori (domestic silkworm). RNAcentral's name for it is "ovarian small RNA-27874". The record is from RNAcentral. Lineage: Eukaryota; Metazoa; Arthropoda; Insecta; Lepidoptera; Bombycidae.
UCCUCUCUGCUUGACGGCUGUGCAGGCAUG